Molecule: transfer RNA, 76 nt
Filed under: Bradyrhizobium arachidis
Lineage: Bacteria; Pseudomonadati; Pseudomonadota; Alphaproteobacteria; Hyphomicrobiales; Nitrobacteraceae
Also listed under: 1 other name
Description: tRNA-Val
Source: RNAcentral
GCGUCCGUAGCUCAGUCAGGAGAGCGCCGCUGUGACACGGCGGAGGUGGCAGGGGCAGAGCCUGCCGGACGCACCA